UCUAGAGAGUUCUCUCAACUGCUCCUCCUUCUCUCUAAAUUCUCUCACUAUAUUCUCCAUGAAUCUUCAGUUUAAAUCUCAAAGUUUUCAUGGUAUCAAAGCCUAGACGAUGAUCCGACUAUGUUUUUCUGCAUCUUGUUAUCUUAGUUGACGUAUCCUUUGAGAUUUUUGCGGGUGUUUCUGACGUAUGUGGUAGAUGACGAUUCCGAUCUAAAUCGGAUGCUUUUCUGAGACUUUCAUCGUAAUAUCUGAGUAUAUCUUCUUCACUCGAACGUUCUGGGAGAUUUUUCGAUGAUUUUUGGGUGAU
Molecule: long non-coding RNA, 307 nt
Filed under: Nicotiana benthamiana
Lineage: Eukaryota; Viridiplantae; Streptophyta; Magnoliopsida; Solanales; Solanaceae
Description: long non-coding RNA (NBEN_LNC001786)
Source: RNAcentral